CAAGCAAGUCGGUAUGUGGAAUUUAAUCUGCACGGCUCGUGUGACCAUAAUUAACCCGAACGACGUAGGAGUUCGGGUUAAAGGGUCACACGAGUCGUGCAAAUUAAAUCCAAUAUACCGAUUUGAUUGGCCAAUAACUGUUUUAACACAUGACGCAAUCAAUUUAAGUUCAACGUUUUAGAAAUGUGGACGAUAUUCCGCAAUCCACGGUUCCUAGGAAAGUUUUUUGUAGG
Molecule: long non-coding RNA, 233 nt
Filed under: Mytilus galloprovincialis (Mediterranean mussel)
Lineage: Eukaryota; Metazoa; Mollusca; Bivalvia; Mytilida; Mytilidae
Source: RNAcentral